UGGGGAAUCUUCCGCAAUGGACGAAAGUCUGACGGAGCAACGCCGCGUGUAUGAUGAAGGUCUUCGGAUUGUAAAGUACUGUCAUUGGGGAAGAACGGUUUUCUUGAAAAGAUUGAGAAGACAUGACGGUACCCAAGGAGGAAGCCCCGGCUAACUACGUGCCAGCAGCCGCGGUAAUACGUAGGGGGCAAGCGUUGUCCGGAAUUAUUGGGCGUAAAGGGCGCGUAGGCGGGCUUUUAAGUCCGGUGUGAAAGAUCAGGGCUCAACCCUGAGAGUGCAUCGGAAACUGGAGGCCUUGAGGACAGGAGAGGAAAGUGGAAUUCCACGUGUAGCGGUGAAAUGCGUAGAUAUGUGGAGGAACACCAGUGGCGAAGGCGACUUUCUGGACUGUAACUGACGCUGAGGCGCGAAAGCGUGGGGAGCAAACAGGAUUAGAUACCCUGGUAGUCCACGCCCGUAAAGAUGAGCUGCUGGUGUAGAGGGUAUCGACCCCUUCUGUGCCGCAGUUAACACAAUAAGCACUCCCGCUGGGGAGUACGGCCGCAAGGUUGAAACUUAAAAGAAUUGACGGGG
Molecule: ribosomal RNA, 573 nt
Filed under: uncultured bacterium
Lineage: Bacteria
Description: partial 16S ribosomal RNA
Rfam family: Bacterial small subunit ribosomal RNA
Source: RNAcentral